AUUGAACGCUGGCGGCAUGCCUAACACAUGCAAGUCGAGCGGAUGAACGGAGCUCGCUCCUGGAUUCAGCGGCGGACGGGUGAGUAAUACAUCGGAAUGUGCCUGGUAGUGGGGGAUAACUUCUGGAAACGGUCGCUAAUACCGCAUACGACCUGAGGGAGAAAGUGGGGGAUCUCCGGACCUCACGCUACAAGAUGAGCCUAGGUCGGAUUAGCUAGUUGGUGGGGUAAAGGCCUACCAAGGCGACGAUCCGUAACUGGUCUGAGAGGAUGAUCAGUCACACUGGAACUGAGACACGGUCCAGACUCCUACGGGAGGCAGCAGUGGGGAAUAUUGGACAAUGGGCGAAAGCCUGAUCCAGCCAUGCCGCGUGUGUGAAGAAGGUCUUCGGAUUGUAAAGCACUUUAAGUUGGGAGGAAGGGCAGCAAGUUAAUACCUGGCUGUGUUGACGGUACCAACAGAAUAAGCACCGGCUAACUUCGUG
Molecule: ribosomal RNA, 484 nt
Filed under: uncultured bacterium
Lineage: Bacteria
Description: partial 16S ribosomal RNA
Rfam family: Bacterial small subunit ribosomal RNA
Source: RNAcentral